GCUGAGCUUCAUAGCAAUACUUUGCAUUAUUUUUUUAAUUUUCAUGUCUUAAACUUGCUUUUUCAGUUGUUGUCAUAAUAAAAAGAUACUUUCUGACACAGACAGCUAAAAUGGAGAGGCUGAAGGGUGAAACAGAAAUUAAAUCUUCCAGUUUUCACAUAUAAAACUAGUAUAAAACAAAGAUAUUACACUUUGAAAAAUGCUCAAACAUGAAGAAAAUGAAGCAAAGGAAGAAACAUUCACAAUAAACACAUAAAAACUUAACCUGGUUAAUGUUUUACACUCACAUGUUGUAGGCUUUACACACUGUAAAAGUCUUAAACAUUAAAAUAUACACAAAUAUUUUCUAUUGGGUUAAAACACGCAGUAAAUGUAGCGUUUUUUGUUAAUAACUGUUAUUUACCACCGCCAGUAAAUGCAUCAAAUUUGCUCGUUUCUACCUUACUGGUCAGUCAAGGGCAAAAUCAAGUUUAAGCAAUUUGAUUGGCUGUGAUGAUGUGUACGUGCUGCUACGUACUGGCAGUCGGUCAGCGGCCGUUCACGGACCGGGCUGGAUCUGAGCCAUUUUGGAUUGUUAUUUCUUGCUAACCAGCUGGAGCUACGAACUUUCCUGGACGUUUUGCUUGGUUUUUGGAGCUGCAGACCCGAAUCACACUCGUGACCCGGGACGGACUGUUGGACCGGAGCUGGAGCAGUUUAUUUCCGUUUCUUCAAAAACUGGUAACCAUGGUGGGCAUCGCCAUAAACACAAUAACUCAUCCAGGAACCAUCCAGAAGACGUGCAGACAGCAGGCAGGGGCUGAACUUGCAUUUAGUAAGCCUCCUUAAACUUUUAAUAAAGAUUCCAUCCAAAUCUACCUACAACCAUCCCUUUGCUCAGCAUUGAGAUGCUUGAGCUUCUUGAUAUAAUUUAGCUAAAAUGUUUUCUCAGUCAGUGGGAAACGCUGCGCAUGGCAUCAGAGUUCAUCUUAACAGCUUCAUUAUGGGUAAAUGCUGUUCCAGGACCUGCUGGAAGUUCCUCUCAAUGACUCCAACAGGAGGACUUUACUUAUGAAGAACAAUGAUGAAAUAUGAACCACCUGUGUGGUUCUUAGAAAGAUACUUUCAUUUAUGUGGAAAGAGAUUACUUCCAUAAUCUGUGAAUCAAAUCUGAUCGUACUAUUUUCAGUGUUUGUUUUGCAGUUUCUUCUAAUUAGAGUCUAAUUAAGGCCUAACUGGGAUUUAUUGUCAAGCAUGUUUUGGGUCAAAGUUUUUGUGUUAAAUACAUUUUUCAUAUACGAAGGAUUGCUAAGUGUUUGCCAUCCCACAGUCUGCAGCUCAGUUUGACAGCUGAGGCUGGAACGGAGGCGGCUGCUGCUGUGGCUGCGCAUGCUGGUGCUGCGGCUGCGCCUGCUGCGGCUGCGCAUGCUGGUGCUGAUGCGGCUGCGCAUGCUGUGGCUGCUGCUGAUGCGGGUGCUGCUGCGACUGAAGGCAGAGGAUUUGUCCUACUUCUGAACCUCGGCUUCAUCAUAAGCUUUCAAUGAGUUUUAAAAUUCAUAAGCCAUUUCUCAUCUAUUAAACUUUAAACUGCAUGAUAAUCAGGGACACUUGCGGCACAGCUCACACAUAAACAUAUUUUAUAAACCUGCAAAAAUACAUAUGCAUUUUUUUAUACUAUUUUGUAGAUGACAUUGCAUUUUAAAUCUGGCUAUAGCACCGAGACACUAAUGGACUCUGACAGAGUUUGGAAGGACUUUGCAACAUAUUUUCAAGUGUUUGUUGGCUGAGAAAGGCUGUUUAUCCUGAAGCUGUCACUAAGCAACACGCAUGAGAGAAACAUUUGUUAAAUCUCUUUAGUUUUCUAAGUUAGACAUUAAUGUUUGGCUGAAUAAAAAACAUGAUGAGA
Molecule: long non-coding RNA, 1885 nt
Organism: Xiphophorus couchianus (Monterrey platyfish)
Lineage: Eukaryota; Metazoa; Chordata; Actinopteri; Cyprinodontiformes; Poeciliidae
Exons: 3
Source: RefSeq, a predicted model, not a curated record